ACGAACGCUGGCGGCGUGCUUAACACAUGCACGUCGAACGGAAAGGCCCCUUUGGGGGUACUCGAGUGGCGAACGGGUGAGUAACACGUGAGUAACCUGCCCUUGACUUCGGGAUAACUUCAGGAAACUGGGGCUAAUACCGGAUAGGAAUCCUUGCUGCAUGGUGGGGGUUGGAAAGCUUCGGCGGUUUUGGAUGGACUCGCGGCUUAUCAGCUUGUUGGUGGGGUAGUGGCUUACCAAGGCUUUGACGGGUAGCCGGCCUGAGAGGGCGACCGGCCACACUGGGACUGAGAGACGGCCCAGACGCCUACGGGAGGCAGCAGGGGGGAAUAUUGCACAAUGGGCGGAAGCCUGAUGCAGCAACGCCGCGUGCGGGAUGACGGCCUUCGGGUUGUAAACCGCUUUCAGCAGGGGCGAAGCUUGUGGUGACGGUACCUGAAGAAGAAGCACCGGCUAACUACGUG
This 464-nucleotide ribosomal RNA is filed under the name uncultured bacterium. RNAcentral describes it as "partial 16S ribosomal RNA". It matches the Rfam family "Bacterial small subunit ribosomal RNA", at positions 29 to 507 of the family's 1533-position model. The record is from RNAcentral.